Molecule: ribosomal RNA, 405 nt
Filed under: uncultured bacterium
Lineage: Bacteria
Description: bacterial SSU rRNA
Rfam family: Bacterial small subunit ribosomal RNA
Source: RNAcentral
AUUGAACGCUGGCGGAAUGCUUUACACAUGCAAGUCGAACGGCAGCACGGGGCAACCUGGUGGCGAGUGGCGAACGGGUGAGUAAUACAUCGGAACGUGCCCAAUCGUGGGGGAUAACGUAGCGAAAGUUACGCUAAUACCGCAUACGAUCUACGGAUGAAAGCGGGGGAUCGCAAGACCUCGCGCGAGUGGAGCGGCCGAUGUCAGAUUAGGUAGUUGGUGGGGUAAAGGCUCACCAAGCCAACGAUCUGUAGCUGGUCUGAGAGGACGACCAGCCACACUGGAACUGAGACACGGUCCAGACUCCUACGGAGGCAGCAUGGGAAUUUGGACAAUGGGCGCAAGCCUGAUCCAGCCAUUCCGCGUGCAGGAUGAAGGCCUCGGUUGUAACUAGCUUUGUUACGG